AAGUCGUAACAAGGUUUCCGUAGGUGAACCUGCGGAAGGAUCAUUAACACGUAUCCAACGUUAAACCCCCCUGUGAACCUUCAUUGUGCUUCCACACUUUGUUAGAAAGUGACAAUCCCUGGUAAAUCAUCGCCGAACAGAUUCAGGGACUUCUGCGAAGAGGGUGAAUGAGGUGAGGCAAUGGACCUGGCAUUCCUCUGCUUGUUGGUGUCUGAAAGUGUCACUAACUCUGUACGAAUGGCGCAGUCACGUUCGCUGGAGGCCGACACGGCCGGCGACCGGGUCCCUGAGCUCUGCUCCCUAAUAACCUUUGCAUGAAAACGGCACCAAACUCGAACAACUGUUAACAAUGGAUAUCUUGGUUCUC
RNAcentral lists this unclassified non-coding RNA (367 nucleotides) under fungal sp. Its description in RNAcentral is "partial internal transcribed spacer region". The stretch from base 1 to 46 matches the Rfam family "Eukaryotic small subunit ribosomal RNA", at positions 1786 to 1831 of the family's 1831-position model. The record is from RNAcentral. Lineage: Eukaryota; Fungi.